Molecule: ribosomal RNA, 861 nt
Filed under: uncultured bacterium
Lineage: Bacteria
Description: bacterial SSU rRNA
Rfam family: Bacterial small subunit ribosomal RNA
Source: RNAcentral
CUCAGAACAAACGCUGGCGGCGUGCCUAACACAUGCAAGUCGUACGAGAAAGUCCGCUUCGGUGGAUGAGUAAAGUGGCGCACGGGUGAGUAACGCGUGGAUAAUCUACCCUUUAGUCUGGAAUAACUUAUCGAAAGGUGAACUAAUACCGGAUAAUAUCCCGAUUUCUUCGGCGAUCGGGAUCAAAGAAGGCCUCUGCUUGCAAGCUUUCACUGAAGGAUGAGUCCGCGUACCAUUAGCUAGUUGGCAGGGUAAUGGCCUACCAAGGUUAUGAUGGUUAGCUGGUCUGAGAGGAUGAUCAGCCACACUGGAACUGAAACACGGUCCAGACUCCUACGGGAGGCAGCAGUGAGGAAUAUUGCGCAAUGGGGGCAACCCUGACGCAGCAACGCCGCGUGAGUGAGGAAGGUUUUCGGAUUGUAAAGCUCUGUCGAGCGGAAAGAGGUGCAUGGUGGUUAAUAUCCAUCAUGCUUGACGGUACCGCUAAAGGAAGCACCGGCUAACUCCGUGCCAGCAGCCGCGGUAAUACGGGGGGUGCAAGCGUUGUUCGGAAUCAUUGGGCGUAAAGCGCGUGUAGGCGGCUGGACAAGUCAGAUGUGAAAGCCCUGGGCUUAACCCAGGAAGUGCAUUUGAAACUGUUCAGCCAGAGUAAGGGAGAGGAAAGUGGAAUUCCUGGUGUAGAGGUGAAAUUCGUAGAUAUCAGGAGGAACACCGGUGGCGAAGGCGACUUUCUGGCCCUAUACUGACGCUGAGACGCGAAAGCGUGGGUAGCAAACAGGAUUAGAUACCCUGGUAGUCCACGCUGUAAACGAUGUUCACUAGGUGUUGGGGGUAUUGACCCUUCCAGUGCCGCAGCUAACG